This 389-nucleotide ribosomal RNA is filed under the name Ophiothela mirabilis. RNAcentral's name for it is "partial large subunit ribosomal RNA". It matches the Rfam family "Bacterial large subunit ribosomal RNA", at positions 1982 to 2608 of the family's 2925-position model. The record is from RNAcentral. Lineage: Eukaryota; Metazoa; Echinodermata; Ophiuroidea; Amphilepidida; Ophiotrichidae.
UCGGACUCGAUGGUUUGACGAUAAAAAAACUGUCUUUCUUUACUGGCUUUUAAAUUAUCUUAAGAGUGAAGAGACUCUUUUGUUAUAGCGGGACGAGAAGACCCCGUUGAGCUUUAACGAGUAUUAUUAGUUUUAUAAUUACUGGUUUUAGUUGGGGCAACUAUUUCUCUUUAUUAAACAGAAAUAAAACUAUCUCGAAUUGAAUCAAUUAUGACCCCUAAUUAUUAGGAGAAAUAAAAUAAGUUACCACGGGGAUAACAGCGUAAUUUUUUUUGAGAGUUCUUAUUGACAAAAAAGUUUGCGACCUCGAUGUUGGAUCAUAGUCUCCUAGGGGUGCAGCAGCUCCUAAGGGUUGGUUUGUUCAACCAUUAAAACUAUACGUGAUCUGA